RNAcentral lists this transfer RNA (65 nucleotides) under Mnais tenuis. RNAcentral describes it as "tRNA-Glu". It matches the Rfam family "tRNA". From Rfam's summary of the family: Transfer RNA (tRNA) molecules are approximately 80 nucleotides in length. Their secondary structure includes four short double-helical elements and three loops (D, anti-codon, and T loops). The record is from RNAcentral. Lineage: Eukaryota; Metazoa; Arthropoda; Insecta; Odonata; Calopterygidae.
ACUUAUAUAGUUUAAUAAAACAUUACAUUUUCAAUGUAAAAAUAAAAAAAUUUUUUUUAUAAGUA